RNAcentral lists this small nuclear RNA (20 nucleotides) under Arabidopsis thaliana (thale cress). RNAcentral's name for it is "snRNA_02894". The record is from RNAcentral. Lineage: Eukaryota; Viridiplantae; Streptophyta; Magnoliopsida; Brassicales; Brassicaceae.
GCCCGGUCGUACUCAUAACC